UGGGGAAUAUUGGGCAAUGGGCGCAAGCCUGACCCAGCAACGCCGCGUGAAGGAAGAAGGCUUUCGGGUUGUAAACUUCUUUUGUCAGGGACGAAGCAAGUGACGGUACCUGACGAAUAAGCCACGGCUAACUACGUGCCAGCAGCCGCGGUAAUACGUAGGUGGCAAGCGUUAUCCGGAUUUACUGGGUGUAAAGGGCGUGUAGGCGGGGAGGCAAGUCAGAUGUGAAAACCACGGGCUCAACCUGUGGCCUGCAUUUGAAACUGUUUUUCUUGAGUGCUGGAGAGGCAAUCGGAAUUCCGU
RNAcentral lists this ribosomal RNA (303 nucleotides) under uncultured bacterium. RNAcentral's name for it is "bacterial SSU rRNA". It matches the Rfam family "Bacterial small subunit ribosomal RNA", at positions 355 to 672 of the family's 1533-position model. The record is from RNAcentral.